AAAAAGGCAAAUCCUGGGUUUCCGUGCCAACGUUUGACUGUCCGUCUUAUAUGAAAUUUUUUUAUAAUUAGUAUUUUCAUCGUUGUUAGAUGAUAAAACUUGAUUAAUACUUUAUGCGUGACUUGUCUUUUUAAUUUUUUCAUAAUAUUUUUAAAUAAGACGGACGAUCAAACGUUGCACACGGAUACCAGAGUUUGUCUUUUUU
This is a microRNA precursor of Oryza sativa Japonica Group (Japanese rice), 205 nucleotides long. It matches the Rfam family "MIR812 microRNA precursor family". Lineage: Eukaryota; Viridiplantae; Streptophyta; Magnoliopsida; Poales; Poaceae. The record is from Rfam.